Molecule: long non-coding RNA, 1520 nt
Filed under: Lactuca sativa (garden lettuce)
Lineage: Eukaryota; Viridiplantae; Streptophyta; Magnoliopsida; Asterales; Asteraceae
Description: long non-coding RNA (LSAT_LNC005931)
Source: RNAcentral
GUAUCUUCUUCUCCCCACCUCACCUAUAACUCAAAGCCAUUAAAAAUCAUAUUAGCAAAAAGGUUGAUAAUACGAAAGUAAUGAAAUUGGUGGUGUGUUGGGGUUUAUCAAAAGGAAAGAGAAAAAUUUUUGUACUUGAUUCGGUUUUUUUAUUGGUGGAGCUAAAGGGGGAGAUGGAGGAUCUGUGUGAUCUACAGGUGACGAAUGAAAGUACAAAGGGUUCUUGAUGGGUGAUUUCAGAAGGAGGCGAUGAGAGGGGAUGUAAGUGCAAGAUGAAGAACGGGGUUUGGACAUCAGAGAGGGUCGUUGAUUUGGACCUGAAAGACAAGAGGAGUGAAUAGAAGAUAAUAAAAAACAUCACUCCUCCAUUACUAGCAACUGCUUCAUCUUCAUCCAGUGGCAACCUCUCGGUGAGAUCUCUAAAGGUAUUCUGGUGAUCUACUCCGAUUGAUUUAGGGGUAAAAGGAUAAAUCGAGAUGCACCUGUUAUGUGUUCAAGAACCGAUCAUAACCUAAAUCAAAAAUCAAAGUUGCAGGUGGUUGAGGAAGAUGAUAAUGGACCACGAAAAGAACCAAACCCACCAGAGCAUUAUGAAACUGGAGCCGAAGCCUUGUGAACUUCUCAAAGUGUCCAAGAAUAUAUAAAUCUACACUUUUGUUAUACCCUGAAGAUAACUUUUAUACGUGAAAGUUCUUUUUGUUUUUUCUAUCAAUUUUCAUAGUGUUUCGAUAAUUAGCCUCCCACCAUUCCCUACUGAUCAUCGUCUCUGUCGACAUCCUCCCAUAGCAUCUUCUUUUUACCAGUAGCGUGAUCUUAAUUUCAGGUAUGAGCUGAGAUGAUCAGAAACAAACUGGCAUGAGAGUUGUUUGAGAGGAUGGAAUAAGGAAUAAAGGCAUGUAUUGGGUGACGAUUCAAGCACGGAUUUACAAGAUAUUCUCGAAUUAAAAUUAAGGCCAACAACAAUUACCUCUAUAUUUAGAUAACAACAAGCUUAGUGUCCAAUUUUCAGGGAAUCUUUAGAAGUCCAGGUAACAAAGGAAAAUUUUUCAUUGGUUUGGGUUGUAUAUCGGGAUGCUUCUACUAAUAAAUUACAUGUUGAAGUGGAGUGCUGAAUCUCGUACACAAGGUGUUUGACAAAAAUCCUCAAAAAAGAGAUCAUCAUUGUUUUUGACCAGCCUCUGAUCUUGUGUGUUUACCGGCCAUGUGGAGAGAGAGAGAGAGAGAGAGAGAGAGAGAGAGAGAGAGAGAGAGAGAGAGAGAGAGAGAGAGAGAGAGAAAGAGUUCCUUUAUUAUUUUUUUAAUUGUUAAAAUAAAUAAAUAAAUUUUAAAUUUUAAGAAAAUGAAAGAAAAAUGAAAAUUAACUACCCUAAGGGUAUUAUAGUCAUUUUAAUUUUCGAAGGGACUAUUUUCACAUACAAAUCACUCCAAAAGGACCAUGAAUCCAAAAAAUUCGAGGUUUUUGAUUAAAACCCCAAAAAUUUGCAUACCACAGGGACCAUAUUUGCAAUUUUGUCAAUCUA